AGAGAUUGAACAUAAGAGUUUGAUCCUGGCUCAGAUUGAACGCUGGCGGCAUGCUUUACACAUGCAAGUCGGACGGCAGCACAGAGAAGCUUG
This 93-nucleotide ribosomal RNA is filed under the name Neisseria meningitidis. Its description in RNAcentral is "partial 16S ribosomal RNA". It matches the Rfam family "Bacterial small subunit ribosomal RNA", at positions 1 to 86 of the family's 1533-position model. Lineage: Bacteria; Pseudomonadati; Pseudomonadota; Betaproteobacteria; Neisseriales; Neisseriaceae. The record is from RNAcentral.